GAAUGUAUGAUAAUCUUAUGAUGCUUUGCAUUUAAUAAUGCUGUUCAAAAAUACACCACAUCUCAUUAGGCCAUGGCGACUGUGGCAAAGAGAUGACCAACCUCCAUGAAGUAGUUCAUAUCUUCUUACAUGUACAAGUCUAGUGAAU
Bradysia coprophila is the source of this 148-nucleotide long non-coding RNA. The record is from RefSeq and is a predicted model, not a curated record. Lineage: Eukaryota; Metazoa; Arthropoda; Insecta; Diptera; Sciaridae.